Peromyscus eremicus (cactus mouse) is the source of this 1980-nucleotide long non-coding RNA. RefSeq lists it as uncharacterized. The transcript is spliced from 2 exons. Lineage: Eukaryota; Metazoa; Chordata; Mammalia; Rodentia; Cricetidae. The record is from RefSeq and is a predicted model, not a curated record.
GGACAGUGAGUGACGUUUUGUUUUCUAGGCCCGUUUGCCUGUGAGUGACAUCUAUGUGGGACUUGCAUUCCCCAGUCCCUCUACAGGAAGGAGCUCUGUGAGCAGCAGGAGGCUGACCUCACCACCCUGAGAGAUGGAACAUUGUUCCUGCCUCCCUACUAGGAAGCAGAACUGUCUGCCAGUGAACACAGAUAGUCUUGGUUAUCUGGUUAUGAGUCUCAAAAUGGACUCUGGACAGCGGAAGCAACAUUGCCUCGGAACCUGGAACUCAAAGAUCCUCUGUUGGUUCCACCUGCCCAGCCUAGCGGGUAGGACUAGAUGAAGCCAAGGCUCUUAGGAACAGGAAAUGGAAAACGCCUGAGAGCCAUGGCAGAGCAUUUGGGCUAAGAAGAGGGCCUGCGUAGUGCUGGGGACACUGGUUCUUCUGGGUCUGACACGGGGAAUACCACAUAUGCAAGGGGAAGCUGGAGCAGCUGGAAGAACAGGAGGGUGUGGAAGAUGGGGCAACCUCACUCUUGCUCUGAGAAUGUCUGUGGCUCACGAGUCCCUUUCCCUUCCCUGGACUGGCACCACCAUGUGGACACAGCGAGCCCCUCAGCUCCUUCAGCUGAGUACAUGGUCUCAUGAAAAAGUGGUAGCAAAUGCUAGUGUGGCUGAUACAGCAAGUCAACCACCAUACCAGGGUGGAUGUGCAGGUGUCUAGCCAGCUGCACCCUGCACACUAGGGCAGCCGGGCCACCCCACCACCACCUUGGUGGAAACAGGGCAGAAAUGAAACUCCAGACUCAGCCACCUGUACCUGUCUCCUGCAGUCCUCGGUGGGCCCUGUCCCUUUGACUAGAACAUGUUUCAACACUGUCAUCAAAGAGACACAGCAGGCAUCUCUGUGUCAACACAGAUACUGGCCUCCCUUCUAGCCUGUCCAUGGCCGGAAUUAUAAAGCCAAAUGUGUCUGGCUGGUAGCCUGCUAUGUGAGCAAUAGAAAAAAGCCAAAAAUAAACACUGCAAGUUGAUGACUCUGGACCAUUGGUGGAAACCGUGCCCAGAUUGGGGCAAGAAUGAGGGAACCAUGGCCUAUGGAGCAUACAGCAUCCAUGGGCCCCAGUGUGGCCAUGAAGGUGUGACUAUGCAUACAGCAUCCAUGAGCCCUGGUAUGGCCAUGAAGGUGUGAUCAUGCAUACAGCAUCCAUGGGCCCUGGUGUGGCCAUGAAGGUGUGACUAUGCAUACAGCAUCCAUGGGCCCUGGUAUGGCUGUAAAGGUGUGACCAUGCACACAGCAUCCAUGGGCCCUGGUGUGGCUGUAAAGGUGUGACCGUACAUACAAUAUUUGUGGGCCCUGAUAUGGAUGUGAAGGUAUGACUCUAUCUCCGGGCUGUCCUUCCUGGAGCAUCACAGACCUCUCUGCCCAGAGUAGUACCUUGAUGCCUGGGCUUGGAGAGUAUCCCUCAUUACCUGCUUCCUCGAGGACCACAGUGGGGCUUGGCACAUAAAAGCUGCAUGCAAUGGUGCACAUCUGUAAUCCCAGUGCAGAGGAGUGGAGACAGGAGGGCCCCUGGGUCUCACUGGCCAGCCAGACUAGCCAAAUCGGUGAGCUCCAGGCCAGUGAGAGACACUGUCUCCAAAACUAAGGUGGGUACAGGCUGGUAAGAUUUAUUGUUAACACAACACAACCUAAAGUCACCUAGGAAGAAGGAGACUCAUCUGAAUAAUUAGCCAAACCAGAUUGCCGUGUGGCCACGUCUGGGACAGAUCAUCUUGACUGAUGCUUGACGUGAGAGGGAACAGCCCACUGUGGGUGGCACCAUCCCAGGCAGGUGGUCCUGGGCUGGAUGAGAAAGCUAGUUGAGCAUGAGACAAGGAGCAAGCCAGUAAGCAGUGUUCUUUCACGUCUGCCUCAGGUUCCUGCCUUAAAUCCCUGCCCUGACUUCCUUCAGUGAUGGACUGUGACCUGUAAGUGGAAAUAAACCCUUUCCUCCCCAA